UAAAAAAAAAAAGAAAAUUCUAAAUCACCAGCACAAAUUUUUGUGGAUAUGGUUUAAAGGAAGGAGUAAAGGCCAAAGGGUGUGCUUAUGUUGUUAGCCUUACUUGUCAGGGAGAGACUAGACUCGACAGAAAUAAAAGAGGCAAUAAAAGUAGAUGCUUUCCUCUUGGGAUUUCAAAGCCCUGUUUGCGGAAGAAAUAAAUAUAAUAAAAUUAUGAAGAAAGAAAGUAUGUAUUAUUAGCUAGGUGGUGAUGGUGUCCUAUGUGGGCAGGUGAGGUGGUGGAAUUCAAAGGUUUAGUAGGAAAAUAUUUGUUAUUUUGUUAGGGCAAUAUCCAACAUAGAUAUAGAUUUAAGGAAUAAACAAUGGGA
This 368-nucleotide unclassified non-coding RNA is filed under the name Hevea brasiliensis (rubber tree). Lineage: Eukaryota; Viridiplantae; Streptophyta; Magnoliopsida; Malpighiales; Euphorbiaceae. The record is from RNAcentral.